CGGCGCCCUGGCCCCGGAGCGGUUUAGCCGCUGCCUUGUGUCGCGGCCGCGUGCCGGGCGAUGGCCGCCCAGACCCCCGGGCCCCCGAUCGCCAACCCCGGGGCUUCCCACCCGCGCCUCGGUGGAGGGAGGCCCCGGAGGCGCCAUCGCUCGCGCCUGCCACCUGGACGCUGAAUAAACUGGGAAACAAUUAGGUGGCCGGGUGGGGAAGGUGCUGGGUGACUGCACUGCCAGGCGGCCGCGUGCCCCCGCGCUCGCAGGGGUUGGCGAUUGGGGGCGGUUGGGAGUUUGUGUUUAGGGAGGAAGGUGAGAGGUGCGGGAUCUGCCCACGAGGGCAGUCGCUCUCGGAGAAUCGGGGAAUGGCUCUGUCAGGUCGCAGGCCCUCCUCCGCCUUUAUCCCCAUCACGCACAAAAAGAAUGGGCCUUGCAAGGGAUGUUUAUUAUGCACUUUUAAGUGACUAUUCAGAAAAGAGCAGGAGGCACAAUAAAAAAGGCUUCUGCCCCACCAAUUCCCUUCCCUUGAAGAAAAAAAGAAAGAGAAAGCCACCCACAAAGAUGUGAAUGCAAGUUGAAGAUGUGAAAAUUACUGGAAACCAAUUUACAGCAACUGAAGCAAAUUAGGGCUUUAGGGCUCAUUGCAAACUUAAAAAAAAAUAAUGAAACAACCAGCUCUAGGCAAACCAUAUGUGCCAUCCCAAAUCUUUAUUAAUGGAAGUAUAGCUACACGUUAAAGAGAAUUGAAUUUCCACAGCACAGAUCCGAAUAGUCAAAUGCACAGACUGUAAGCCUUUAUUCUCAAGGUGAGUUACCAAAAGAUUGUACAGUGAUUUAGAGGCAGCUUUUGCAGUAGCCUUAUACUCAGAUGUUUGAAAGACCUCUACGUUAUUAGCUACACUGCCCAAACAUCAAUGUACUUUUUGAAGUUUGGAGGAAAAAAUGCAUUUUAUUUUGCCAAUAUUGGAAAACAACUACCUACAAAAAACAAUCAAAAUAGUUGGCAUAUACAUCUUGACUACAACUGAGAUUUUCAGCAUAUACCAAAAAAGUUCCAAAGCUUGAAACAUUAGUAAUAGGUCAAAAGCCAGCUUCUUCUAAUAUUAGUAAUAAUUUCUAUGGGAUCAUAAUUUCCAUACGUGUUAUGAGAUGUUGGAUAGAGAAUGUGACAUCUCUGAACAGAAAUAAAGAUCCAAAGGAAUUUUCCACUCAGAUGACACCAAAAAUGACCCUUCAAAUGAGCCAAUCAUGCACCAGCUCUUACUAGUAUACAACAACAGAGGACAAAAGAUGACACAGCAGCCACGUCCUACAGGUCGACUUGAUCUCACCACGUUGUAGUGAAUUCAAUUGUGACUCGUAAGCCUUGCUCAACUCUUAGAACUGAUCCACCCAUUUCAGACUUUCUCUGGAAGGUUCUCCAUCCUCAAAUACAUUUUGCAAAGUUGGUUCAGAGCAAAAGAAGAAGCAUGGGAAUAUCACAGUGGAUGAGAAUUGGGUCAACACCUAAUGUGUCUUAUCCUCAUCAGUCUGAUUUUCUUCUGAUUCUCAACCCUAUGCAGAUGCCUAAUCUCCUCUACUUAAACAUUUUUAGCUCUCCAACUGGUUGUUCUAAAUGUGAAAACAAAGCC
Long non-coding RNA from Equus caballus (horse), 1625 nucleotides. Lineage: Eukaryota; Metazoa; Chordata; Mammalia; Perissodactyla; Equidae. The record is from Ensembl.